GUAAAACUUUUGAGUCAUGUGAUCUAGCUCUGUAGCUGGGGGAGACGACAUAAAAUUAUUACUUACAUACUUCUCCACCAAAACAAACCCAGAUCCGCAGAAGAGAGAAACAAACCGGAACUCGAAGUCCUGUGUGAAUUAAUUACCAGCCUGCCAUCUUCUGAAAGCCAAGUGUCUUCUGUUCUGGGAAAAUGCUUUAAUAUCUGAGAAGUCAGUGAGGCCUGGAACGGAGUGAGAAAUCAAGCCUUCCUCCCAGACUCCCACCCUGUGCUCUCUGGUGCUCUGUGGAUCCUGGAUGCAGAUCCAACCACUGUCCCAUUUACUGUGUGAUUUGAGAGGGUCUGCUCUGUCUUCUGGUUAGGCCCCAAGGAUCUUACCGUGAGGUACUCAGGCUGUGAUUUACCAAGGUUAUAAGCCAUCUGUGAAGUAUAAGUACCCACAGCAGUCAUUCAGACUGCUACUUUACACAACAGUGACAGUGUGCUGUGUUUAUGCUUGUGAUUAAAGGUGACUUUAAAGAGAAUAUUUGAAACAAAAAAUAUCAAAACGAAUAAACAGUAUAAUCCUA
This is a long non-coding RNA of Peromyscus eremicus (cactus mouse), 568 nucleotides long. RefSeq lists it as uncharacterized. Lineage: Eukaryota; Metazoa; Chordata; Mammalia; Rodentia; Cricetidae. The record is from RefSeq and is a predicted model, not a curated record. The transcript has 2 exons.